ACUUUAAACAUGAAUAUUUCCAUAAACAAAAUUCAAGUGUUAUAAAUAAAUACUACACACUUAAAUAUUCAAUACAAAGCAAGAAAAUAAAGAGAUAAACAUAAAUGGGUAAGAAAUCCUUAACCACAAGCUUGAAAUCUUCAAGACCAAAGUGUGUGUGCAAACCUUAGCUUCAAGACUUGUUCUCUCUAGUCUCUUGGAACUAAAAAUAAGCCAAAGGAUUUUUCAAAGAUCUUCUAGGCCGAGGAUUAAAUGGCUUGGGGGAUGACUGUGUGAAAUUCUAGAACUACCUAGGAUUUACUCAAUGCGUUCGCAACAGUGAAAACACGAUCACAUAGAAUAACUUCUCCCAGUUAUGCGAUCGCAUAAGGUCUUCUGCGUUCGCACAAGUCUGUUGACUAGCCAUUGACCAGGCUUCCUUCUACGCGAUCACACUUAUUUACACGCGUUCGCAUUGUUUGGUAUUGUGAACUUUUGCGAUCGUAUACAGUUCCCUGCGAUCGCAUAGUGUAAUUGCUUGCAGUGGUCCAUUUUUCCAUUUUAGCUCCUUUUUGACUUGUUUUCACUUGGUUUCUUUACCAUUCCUUCUAAAUCACACACAACCUGUAAAAUAGAAGUAAAUGACAUCAAAUACACAAUUUUAUCACUCAAACAUAGCAAAAGUAUAGGUUUAAAGACAAGUUAAGUUGGUAAAAUACUAAUUUUACCAACUUAUCUGUGCCUAAAGCAAAAUAUUGGCAAUUCAUGUUCUUUGACUCAUCAUGCAUAUUUGUGCCACUUGGCUUGGCUUAAUGCCAUGUGGCAGUAUAAAAAAAUAUCCUUAUCCACUUAAUCAAUUAUCCACAUAAUUAAGAAUUAUUACAAAUUACUUAUAAUACUACUCACCUUUAAUACACCUUAUGUACCCUACUAUCAUGGUCAUGUGGUACUAUAUAAAAUAAAGACAUACACUAUUGUUUCAUUAAAACAUUCAUGUAAAUAUACAUAUAUUUUCUCAACUUCUAAUUUUUCUAAUCUCAUAUAAAGAGUACAAAUUUUCGUACGCAUAAUUCUUAAAAUGGUAAAAAGAUAACCUCUUUUUCUUGUGAAAAAAUAAAUUUUGUCUUUACAAUAAAGAAAAUCUCAUAUUAGGUAUGUAAUUUAUCAUAUCCGAAAAUAGUAAUAAUGAAAACUAUUCAAAAUUAUACUUAUAAAAGUUUUACUAAAAUACUCCACUUAAAAGAAAAUACCACACUAACAUAAUAUCUAACGAUAUUAAGGUUGUAAACUUACAGGGUCUCAUAGUAAUAAUGUCUUAAGCCCUCUAUAACCUCCUAAUAGAUAUAAUUCCUUUGAACUCAGGUGGAUUUACUAUGGCACAUCCUAAUGCUAAGGUACGAGAUGUAAUAUCCUUCCCCCCUUUAGAAACAUUCUUCCUCGAAUGUUAACUCCUUGAGAUUUUCAAAACUUUCGCUAGGGUCUCCUCUGUAAAUUAAACUAAAACUCAACCUCUAUCUGAAGUCUCGACUAUUUAUAACCGUUUGUAAUUGUGCAUCUCGCAUCUUCUUCACCUUUAUGUUACUUACCUUUCAAUCUUGCAUCCUGUAUUCUAUUUCUUUCAUAACUUCCCUUCCAUAUAAGUGAAAAUUACACCUUAAUGCUCUACUAUAAUACCUGCACCUUUGGUGCAUACAAAACAUGGUGAAAGCUUCAUACUGACUUCUUACGACUCAGCUCUAUGGCACGAUCUGGAAACAAAAGAAGGAUAAUAUUUUCUAAAUGUCCUAUAGCCUCUCAAUUAUAAAUGUGGCGCGCAACACACCCAUAAGUGAGACUCUACUAGGCAUGGCUUUGUAAACUUCCUAGGACACGACUCGCUCUAAUACCACUCUGUCACGCCCCAACCUUGGGAGGCGUGGCUGGGGCCCGGUGCCGCAUUAGCCCAAGCUAACCACUCUGUAACUCAUUCAUUCAUUUUGUAACUAUCAUGGGCCAACAUGGCCACAACUCGUAAAGUACAAUUGUAAGUGCAAAACGCUGUUUCGCUGAACCAUUUUUCUUAAAACAUGAAUAAAUAUGGGCUGGUAAGGCCUCUCACAUACUAUACAAAAUAAACAUUUGUCUACAAAUACUCUAAGAUUAUUUAAUAUAAAAUGGGAUAGGGUACCAGCCUACCCACAAGUCUGUAAAAAAAUUCUGGCACGAUGACUCAUAGACUCGGCUGCACUCCGAAUGAGGUGGAGUCUUACUGAUCCUUCGCUGAACGCAGACCUCGUCUAUUGUAAGGGUUCAUCAAUCUGAUUAUCUAUACCUACAGGCAUAAAUGAAGCGUCCCCAACAAAAGAACGUCAGUACGAAUAAUGUACUGAGUAUGUAAGGCAGAACUGAAACAUAACAGUAAGUCAACAUUAAUUAGGGACAUAGAAGAAAUAUAGAGUAAAUGACUCAACCGGUAAGUCUGAAUAGUUCUGUAAAUCAUGAAAUAUUUAUAGUAUCAUGCAUAUGCAUAUAAAUGUCAUGUAAUGCAUAGGUCUGUAUGUACAAAACAUCAUAAAGCCUCUGAAGGCAUCCCAUUAUAUCAUCUCAACCACUGUGGGCAAAAUCAUCAUCGUAUACAAGCUGAUUAGGUUGUGGUGCAUAUAUAACGCCAUAACCUUUCCCAUAUACAUAUAUAUACUUAUAUAUACGCGUAUAUAACGCCAUAACAUCAUCACGCCUCUGAGGGUUCAGAGGCGUGUCCCAUCAUAUCUUCUCGGCCACGGUGGACAAAUCAUCAACGUAUACCAACUGAUCAGGUGGUGGUGCGUAUAUAACGCCAUAACUUUUUUUUCCAUAUCCCAUAUACAUAUAUACACGUAUAUAACGCUGUCUGAGUCAUGAGUAAAUGCACAUGUGAAUGAAUGCAAUGCAUGAGAAGUACGUUAAUAAAACCUUUUAGAAUGUCAUAAGACCAUUAUGCCUUAAGUAGUAUCAUGAAGUAAACUUUUUUUUUCAACUUACGUAUUUCUGAGACCCAUGAAUAGAUGAUAGAAUAUUAUGACGCAUGAAAAUUCAAGAACAUAGAUAUCUCUAAUACUUCUAUGAAUUGAGUCAUUUAUGGAAGUUAUACAUUUUCUCAUUUCGUUUGUACCGCAUUGAUCAUGCCAAAAGAAGGAAGGGACAACCUUAACAUACCUGGAUUAGGAAAAAAAUCCGUAUGUAUUAUGAAGAAAGAUUUUACCGUACUCCCUUAGAAUCGAAAUCUCAAGUUGUGAUAACAUUAGGUAGACAUCGUAUGAAAUAUUUGAACCAAUAUUGCUGCUAUUGCGACCUUAACUUUGCCGAAGCUUUCCCGGGAUGUAACAAUCUUUGAAAGAAAUUGCCCCUCACAUCACUCAUUGAUUUCACGUUAUUCAUCAAAUACUUCCCAAACCAUCCAUUUUUGGUUUUUUUUUUCAUUAAAAUGGCACUUUCACAUCAUCUGAGCACUAAUUCUUCCAAAAUUACACGGUAAAUAAUCACUUGGAUACUUAAAUACCUUAAGCAACAAAUAGCCAAUGUUCAAACAUUUAUCCAAAGAAAGUUCAAACCGACCAAUUUGAAGUUUUUCUUUAAUCUUUUCCGGUUAGGAGAUUGGAAAGAUUUAGUUCAAUGAUAACCACGACGUCCGAGUCAGCUGGCGCGCACCUCGAUUAAUUCAUACAUAACUUGCUAUCUCACGCCAGCAUAUGUACCAAGUAACUCUGCCCAUCGAGGUUUGGACAAAAUGGGAAGAAAUGACCUCAACUGGAUAUGAACCUGAUACCUCAUGGGUCUCAACCUACUUCGUUAACCACUAAGCUACACCCUUAAAUGCAGCAUUACACAUGCUCUGCAUCAUUCAGCACACUUACGCUUACCAUCUUCUACAAUACUAAUUGAGCUUUAGGAGCGUUGGAGAAGAUAACAACAAUAAGCGCCAGAGAGAAACAUACCUCAAUCUUUAAGAAAGAUAUUACAAAAAUUUCCCUCUUCGUUUAUUUUGUGUAAUAAACUACAUUUUAUAUACAUACAGACAAGUUUGUCUUUUAGUAUUUUUUUUUUCUUCUGCGUGGGCAACAAAGUACCUUAUUUCAUUUUAAAGAAAUUAUCAUUUUACUGUUUUAUGCACACAGCAAAUUUAAGUACACUACUAACAAAGAAUGAUGAAAAGAACAAAAUGAAAAAAAAUGAUACAAUAUAUAUCUAUAGAGAAAUCUAUUUCAGUACUCCCUUUCAAUUUCAUUCGUUUUCACUUUGCAAUCUUCCAUGUUUUUAUUUGCAUUUUUAUGUUUAAAUAUUAAGUGUGUAAAGCCUAAAUGAAAAAGUUUCAAAUAGGAUGGUAAAAUUAUAUUCAUGAUCCAAUACAAUAUGAAGGUGUAGUUUUGCUAUAUAAAAGAACAAAAUUAAAAUAUAUGGGUUAAACUUGUCCACUGAUAAAUUAUAUUAUAGCUUUGUUACGCAGUUUAAAAAAGGGAGAUUAACGCAGUACUUCUUUCAAAAGGAGACAAAAUAUAUCUUUUUCCGCAGAGGAAAUGUCAAUAGCUCGUGUAAUGAGAUAAAGAGCUCGCAUCCAAAAUCUAUAGGCAAAACAAUUGGAAGAAUAAAUCAUCUUGAUUUUUCUAGGAAGAGGAUACCAAUUUGCAGACGAAGGAAAAGUGUUUAUGGAGGCACGGUUGAGAUUAAAAGUUGAAGACAACACCCAUUGUAAAACAAUCACACUAACAAGAACUCUAUGAAGGUAUUAUAAAUGGAUUUCGACUUCUAUGGAGUUGAACAAUGAUUAAUUGAUACCUUGUCUUUGACCAUGCUUAACACUCCAACAUCUUCUAAAGCCACCAGGACGUUUUUCGUCAACAUGCAUUGUAACUAUGAUAAGUGGGUGCUAAGAAAUGAAUCGAGCACCAGAUAUGAGAACAUCAAGAAUACAUGAACUAGUAUACAAAUCCAGGCGUUUCGAAGUGAGAAGUCCAAAGGAAACUCAAACAUGGUCAAGUUAUCUCAAAGCUUGGCUCUUGCUCAGGAGUUUAGUUUGACUUCUACCAAAGAAGCUUUAAAUUGUGCAGAUUAGUAAGUGAAAAUAUAGUACUAAACAAGUAAAUGAUGAUUUUUCGUUAACGUGUGAUGAUUAUUGAAUGUGACAUCAGUUUUCCGAAAAUGAAAAAAGAAAGAGUAGUGAGUUGCUUAGGGAAUGACAUUCCACUUGACUGAACUAUUAAGUAGUACAAGAUAUACUACCGAAGUUGAGCUUAUCC
RNAcentral lists this long non-coding RNA (5231 nucleotides) under Nicotiana tabacum (common tobacco). RNAcentral's name for it is "long non-coding RNA (NTAB_LNC003797)". Lineage: Eukaryota; Viridiplantae; Streptophyta; Magnoliopsida; Solanales; Solanaceae. The record is from RNAcentral.